Daphnia pulicaria is the source of this 358-nucleotide long non-coding RNA. RefSeq lists it as uncharacterized. The record is from RefSeq and is a predicted model, not a curated record. The transcript is spliced from 3 exons. NCBI's taxonomy places the organism in Eukaryota, Metazoa, Arthropoda, Branchiopoda, Diplostraca, Daphniidae.
GACAGAGUGGAAAAGGUAUCGUUAAAUUCAUUAGGGUUAGACUUUACUGGUAAAGGUGUACUUUUGGACUUACUUUUCGUCAUAAUAAAUAGGACCAACAGCCUGGUGAAGUCUGAGCUUCUUCGUUGCUGUCCAAUGUGCACAUGGAUUUGCUGCAACCAGCCGGGUUAAGGAUCAACCCAUCAACAGCCUGGUGAAGUCUGAGCUUCAUUGUUGCAGUCCGAUGUGCACAUUGAUUUGUUUCUGCCAGCUGUUGAAUGGUGUGGCGAGCCGUUGCAUGCAGACCGUGGUGCUGGUGUGUUGAGCUGCUGCAAAUCAUGUAGAAUGUCAAUGUUGAAUAUAUCCAACGUCAACUCGG